This 1254-nucleotide long non-coding RNA is filed under the name Salmo trutta (river trout). RNAcentral describes it as "lncRNA (ENSSTUG00000002526.1)". The record is from RNAcentral. Lineage: Eukaryota; Metazoa; Chordata; Actinopteri; Salmoniformes; Salmonidae.
CCCAUAUCCUGUCCAUUAGACUCUAUUCAUUUAUACCAGGUUACCUUCAGACCAGUCCUGUAUUAGAUCAGGAUAUAACUAGGAAUGAUCCAUAUCCUGUCCAUUAGACUCUAUUCAUUUAUACCAGGUUACCUUCAGACCAGUCCUGUAUUAGAUCAGGAUAUAACUAGGAAUGAUCCAUAUCCUGUCCAUUAGACUCUAUUCAUUUAUACCAGGUUACCUUCAGACCAGUCCUGUAUUAGAUCAGGAUAUAACUAGGAAUGACCCAUAUCCUGUCCAUUAGACUCUAUUCAUUUAUACCAGGUUACCUUCAGACCAGUCCUGUAUUAGAUCAGGAUAUAACUAGGAAUGAUCCAUAUCCUGUCCAUUAGACUCUAUUCAUUUAUACCAGGUUACCUUCAGACCAGUCCUGUAUUAGAUCAGGAUAUAACUAGGAAUGACCCAUAUCCUGUCCAUUAGACUCUAUUCAUUUAUACCAGGUUACCUUCAGACCAGUCCUGUAUUAGAUCAGGAUAUAACUAGGAAUGAUCCAUAUCCUGUCCAUUAGACUCUAUUCAUUUAUACCAGGUUACCUUCAGACCAGUCCUGUAUUAGAUCAGGAUAUAACUAGGAAUGACCCAUAUCCUGUCCAUUAGACUCUAUUCAUUUAUACCAGGUUACCUUCAGACCAGUCCUGUAUUAGAUCAGGAUAUAACUAGGAAUGACCCAUAUCCUGUCCAUUAGACUCUAUUCAUUAAUACCAGGUUACCUUCAGACCAGUCCUGUAUUAGAUCAGGAUAUAACUAGGAAUGACCCAUAUCCUGUCCAUUAGACUCUAUUCAUUUAUACCAGGUUACCUUCAGACCUGUAUUAGAUCAGGAUAUAACCAGGAAUGAUCCAUAUCCUGUCCAUUAGACUCUAUUCAUUUAUACCAGGUUACCUUCAGACCUGUAUUAGAUCAGGAUAUAACUAUAUAUAGGUACCAGUGUGAAGCUUGUAGAGCAAAACGGGUGAAAUCAGACUUUUACAGGAUUCUACUGGAUCUGGAACCUCACGUUGUCAAAGACCUGGGUAAGAACCUCUCUACCUCUGGUUACAUAUCACUGGAAUAUAAACCUUAUCUAGUCUAUCACCUGGGUAAGAACCUCUCUACCUCUGGUUACAUAUCACUGGAAUAUAAACCUGAUCUAGUCUAUCACCUGGGUAAGAACCUCUCUACCUCUGGUUACAUAUCACUGGAAUAUAAACCUUAUCUAGUCUAUCACCUGGGUAAGA